RNAcentral lists this ribosomal RNA (1242 nucleotides) under metagenome. Its description in RNAcentral is "bacterial LSU rRNA". It matches the Rfam family "Bacterial large subunit ribosomal RNA", at positions 1564 to 2816 of the family's 2925-position model. The record is from RNAcentral.
UGAAUACGAGACGCUAAGGCGUCGAAGUAGUGUAUGUCAUACUUCCAAGAAAAGCUUGCACUGUCAUAGAUAAAAAACGCCUGUACCAUAACCGACACAGGUGGGUAGGUAGAGUAUACUAAGGGGCGCGAGAUAACUCUCUCUAAGGAACUCGGCAAAAUAACUCCGUAACUUCGGGAGAAGGAGUGCCUUAUUCUUAAGGUUGCAAUAACAAGAUCCAAGCAACUGUUUAUCAAAAACACAGGUCUCCGCUAAGUCGUAAGACGAUGUAUGGGGGCUGACGCCUGCCCAGUGCCAGAAGGUUAAAGAAGCUGGUUAGCAUUUGCGAAGCUAGUAACUGAAGCCCUGGUGAACGGCGGCCGUAACAAUAACGGUCCUAAGGUAGCGAAAUUCCUUGUCGGGUAAGUUCCGACCCGCACGAAAGGCGUAAUGAUUUGGAUACUGUCUCGGAGAGGGGCUCGGUGAAAUAGACUUGUCUGUGAAGAUGCGGACUACCUGCACCAGGACAGAAAGACCCUAUGAAGCUUUACUGUAACUUGAAAUUGAAAUUGGACUUUAUUCGCGCAGUAUAGGUGGGAGGCGUUGAUUAUAAUCUUGCGGGAUUAUUGGAGCCAUUAGUGAGAUACCACUCUUGUAAUGUUAGAUUUCUAACUUUGAAUCAUUAUCUGGUCAAAGAACAGUUUCAGGCGGGCAGUUUGACUGGGGCGGUCGCCUCCUAAACGGUAACGGAGGCGUACAAAGGUUUCCUCUGAACGGUUAGAAAUCGUAUCUAGAGUGUAAAGGCAUAAGGAAGCUUGACUGUGAGACCUACAAGUCGAGCAGGGACGAAAGUCGGUCUUAGUGAUCUGACGGUACUGAGUGGAAAGGCCGUCACUCAACGGAUAAAAGUUACUCUAGGAUAACAGGCUGAUCUCCCCCAAGAGUUCACAUCGACGGGGAGGUUUGGCACCUUGAUGUCGGCUCAUCGCAUCCUGGGGCGGUAGUACGUCCCAAGGGUUGGGCUGUUCGCCCAUGAAAGCGGUACGCGAGCUGGGUUCAGAACGUCGUGAGACAGUUCGGUCCAUAUCCGGUGUAGGCGUUAGAAUAUUGAGAGGAGCCUUCUUUAGUACGAGAGGACCGAGAAGGACAUACCUCUGGUGUACCAGUUAUCGUGCCAACGGUAAACGCUGGGUAGCUAUGUAUGGAGUGGAUAACCGCUGAAAGCAUCUAAGUGGGAAGCCCACCUCAAGAUAAGUAUUCUCA